This is a non-coding RNA of Alligator sinensis (Chinese alligator), 620 nucleotides long. The record is from the annotation of a RefSeq genome assembly. Lineage: Eukaryota; Metazoa; Chordata; Crocodylia; Alligatoridae.
CAGUCCUCCCAGGCCAGGCUGCACAGUGAGGCAGAGCCUGACUGCUGGGUCUGUGCAGGGACCAGCUGCUCACAGCAAGACAUUUUCCUCCAGACACCAGCAGCAUGAGGCUCUGGGCCCUGGCCGUGCUCGUGGCCACAGCACUGGGCGUUUCCAGGUCCCAGAUUGUCCUGACACAGUCCGGUUCAGAGAUAAAGAAACCUGGAGAGUCCACAAGGCUGAGAUGUGCCGUGACUGGGUUCACUGCUACUGACUACUCGAUGUCCUGGCUCAGGCAGGGGCCUGGCAAGGGGCUGGAGUGGCUGGUCACCUACUGGAAAGCAGGGCAAAGUGACUACUACUCUCCAAGCAUCAAAGGGCGAUUCACAGCCUCCAAGGACAGCUCCAACUUCUACCUGCAAAUGACCAGCCUAAAACCCGAGGACACGGCUGUGUAUUACUGUGCCAAAGACACAGUGAAAGAAAACCUAUUGGAGCCUGCACAAGAACCAGCGGAGAAGAAACCUGUCUGCCAGAGGGAGGCAGAGGCAGCAGCUCUGCAGCACGUCCCUCAGUCGCAGCGGUGCUCCAUGGAUCUGGUGUCCCUGUACCACACAUCACUGGUACCCAUGGCUGAUUGA